UACGGAGGGUGCAAGCGUUGUUCGGAAUUACUGGGCGUAAAGCGCGCGUAGGCGGCUCUUUAAGUCUCACUGUGAAAGACCGGGGCUCAACCCCGUGCGAGCAGGGGAUACUGGAGGGCUGGAGACCGGUAGAGGCCAGCGGAAUUUCGGGUGUAGCGGUGGAAUGCGUAGAUAUCCGAAAGAACACCGGAGGCGAAGGCGGCUGGCUGGGCCGGGUCUGACGCUGAGGUGCGAAAGCGUGGGGAGCGAACAGG
RNAcentral lists this ribosomal RNA (254 nucleotides) under uncultured bacterium. RNAcentral describes it as "partial 16S ribosomal RNA". It matches the Rfam family "Bacterial small subunit ribosomal RNA", at positions 524 to 776 of the family's 1533-position model. The record is from RNAcentral.